This 1267-nucleotide ribosomal RNA is filed under the name metagenome. RNAcentral's name for it is "bacterial LSU rRNA". It matches the Rfam family "Bacterial large subunit ribosomal RNA", at positions 1636 to 2925 of the family's 2925-position model. The record is from RNAcentral.
UAUUGACCGUACCCUAAACCGACACAGGUGGACUGGUAGAGUAUACCAAGGCGCUUGAGAGAACUAUACUGAAGGAACUCGGCAAAUUGCAUGCGUAACUUCGGGAUAAGCAUGACUUCUAUCGGGGCAACCCUUUAGGAGUGGCACAAAAGAGGGGGUGGCGACUGUUUACUAAAAACACAGGGCUCUGCGAAGAUGCAAAUCGACGUAUAGGGUCUGACGCCUGCCCGGUGCCGGAAGGUUAAAAGGAGAGGUGCAAGCUUUGAAUUGAAGCCCCGGUAAACGGCGGCCGUAACAAUAACGGUCCUAAGGUAGCGAAAUUCCUUGUCGGGUAAGUUCCGACCUGCACGAAUGGCGUAACGACUUCCCCACUGUCUCCAGUAUAGACUCAGCGAAAUUGAAUUCCCCGUGAAGAUGCGGGGUUCCUGCGGUCAGACGGAAAGACCCCAUGCACCUUUACUAUAGCUUUACGCUGGCAUUUGUGUCGGCAUGUGCAGGAUAGGUGGUAGGCUUUGAAGCCGGGACGCUAGUUUCGGUGGAGCCAAAAGAUGAGAUACCACCCUUAUCGUCAUAGAUGUCUAACCGCGGCAUAACAGUGUCCGGGACAGCGUAUGGUGGGUAGUUUGACUGGGGCGGUCGCCUCCCAAAGAGUAACGGAGGCGCGCGAUGGUGGGCUCAGAACGGUCGGAAAUCGUUCGACGAGUGCAAUGGCAUAAGCCUGCCUGACUGCGAGACCGACAGGUCGAGCAGAGACGAAAGUCGGUCAUAGUGAUCCGGUGGUCCCGCGUGGAAGGGCCAUCGCUCAACGAAUAAAAGGUACGCUGGGGAUAACAGGCUGAUGAUGCCCAAGAGUCCAUAUCGACGGCAUCGUUUGGCACCUCGAUGUCGGCUCAUCACAUCCUGGGGCUGGAGCAGGUCCCAAGGGUAUGGCUGUUCGCCAUUUAAAGUGGUACGUGAGCUGGGUUUAGAACGUCGUGAGACAGUUCGGUCCCUAUCUGCCGUGGGUGUAGGAAUAUUGAGAAGAGCUGACCCUAGUACGAGAGGACCGGGUUGGACGAAUCUCUGGUGGACCUGUUGUGGCGCCAGCCGCAUUGCAGGGUAGCUAAAUUCGGACGGGAUAACUGCUGAAAGCAUCUAAGCAGGAAGCCUCCUUCAAAACUAGUAUUCCCUUGAGAGCCGUGGAAGACCACCACGUCGAUAGGCCGGGUGUGGAAGCGCAGCAAUGUGUGAAGCUUACCGGUACUAAUAGCUCGAUUGGCUUGAUCAU